Long non-coding RNA from Chelonia mydas (Green sea turtle), 3074 nucleotides. RefSeq lists it as uncharacterized. The transcript is spliced from 6 exons. The record is from RefSeq and is a predicted model, not a curated record. NCBI's taxonomy places the organism in Eukaryota, Metazoa, Chordata, Testudines, Cheloniidae.
CCAAGAGCUGAGAGAGUGAUGGGUCCUCCUUCAGAAUAAGUUGUAGAUCCUUGAUGAUGCCAUCAAAAGAUGGCGAUCAGUGCAUCGCUUUUUCAUUUUAACCCCCCCCCCCGUUUUUUUGUUUUUUUUUUUUUUUAAAGCAGGUGUCCCACACAGGCUAGACUUUGCUGGGCCCCGUUACGGGGAACCCCAGUGAGGAGCGCGUCAGAGGAAGGAUCUGCUGCCAGCCAUCACAGUCACCAGGAACACCUGUCCGGAGAGAGCCGCGGCCAGGCGCGGAGUUCCGCUCCCCACCCCCUGCACGGAGCUGCGCGCGCCCCGCGCUGGGGAGCAGGCGGCUGACGCCAGGCCCCUGCAGGGAGCUGGACCCCGCUCUUCCGGGGGCUCCCUGCGCGCAAGGGGAUGCUCGGCGCUGGGUCUACCCGCCGGGCGAGCCAGAGGCAGUUCGGCACUUCCCAGGUCAAUGAAGCUGUACAUCUUACAUAUUCCAAUACGACACCAAAGGUGAGACUCAUUCCUGCUCCAGCCCUUUACACCAGGUAAAGGGGCUAAAGUAGUUCUACAAAGUUCUGGAUCCAGCCAGGAGAGAAUUUCCUUAGUGAAGGAACUGAGGAAGACAGUCACAGGCUGCUUUUUGAAGAUCUCCAUGAAAGCCCUGGCAUAGCAGGGUUUGCCUUUGGUCCACAGUUAAAAGGACACACAACAGCAGUGGAGCACUGAAUGGAUGCAGCAGAACAAAUGUAAAGGACGGAAGUUAUUGCAAUUAUAUAAAAAAUGGAGAAAGGGGGGAGAUGCAAACGCCCUUCUGCGAAAUAACCCUCUAUCUUUUAUGCAUACUCAGUGCACAUUUCCUAUACUUAAAGUAUAUGAAAAGUGUACGAAUAUAAAACUAGUGUGGUUUCUUUCUUUUUUUUUUUUUUUUUUUUAAAGAAACAGGUGACAAGAGAAGAGCGAGGAGGAGACAGAGAAAGCAGGGGACAGAAGGAGAAAUAUUACAGGGGAGCAACUCCGCUGACUCCAGUGGAAUCACACUGGUGCAGAGGAACCCAGUUUAAAGAGAAGAGAGGGUUUUCCUUUUUAACAACAGCGCUUGCCAGAAGUUUAAAAAAAAGUCUCAGAACUGAAACACUCUUCUAAAAAGGAGAGUCAGAUUUCACGAUUCAGAUUUUGAGUGACCUUGCUCAUCUUACAAAUCAGAAAGCUAUGGAAUUAUCUCAGAACCUAUGUUUUCCUUCCCCCUUUAGUGCUAUAAAUUCAAGACAAAAGUAUGCAGAUAGCAUGAAGAUAUUCCACAAUAAAUGAAGGGGUCCUAUACCUCUUUUGAAGGAACCCGGGAGCCUUUCCUUUUAUUCCACCAUGUUUCCAGCAUUGCAAUGAAACAGGAGAGGACAAUCCCAGCAGCCAGGAUACAAAACACCCCUGCAAAGCUCUUUAUGUCCAGGGCACCUCCUUUCUGUUUGGUAUCCACUGAUGAGUAUAGGUCACACUGACCAUUCUUCGGCCACCACUUAUGCUUCAGUAUAUCCAUGUCUCCAUUUUGCUGAAGUUCUAAAAUCCUUGGGGAGAAAACACAGAAUCACCGGUUAUGUCAAUGACAACUGAAGUCUACAUUUGUACAAUUGAAAACAUAGAAGUGGUUGAGAACAUGACCAUACCACUAUUCCAUCCCAUGUGUGUGGACGGCAAAAUAGAUGAGUAUAAAAGGGAUGACUAAUAAGCCAGAGGAGGAAGUUUCUUGGCUGGAAUACUGGGCAUGGUGCCCACCCCCGUAUUUCUUUUUCUUCUUUUAAUUACCCUCAGUGGAAGUUAUGUGUAUUUCUAAAUGCAUUUCAAACACAGAAUAGCAUAUUCCUUUUUUCUUGCUAGCCAAUUUCUGUAAUUUGGGCUUGUUACAUACAGAGUAAUAUUUUGGGCUUUAUUAGUUUGAAAAGAAACAAUUUGCUUUGCAAAGCAAGGACAUUGCCAGACUGUGCCCUGGCAAAUUUGACUCAAAAAGGGAAAGUUAGUUUGGAAGAUUCAUUUAAAAUUCCACUUAAGACCGUUCUUAAGCAGUUUGGGUCCAUAUUGCCUUAGUGAGAGCCUCUCCUCCCUGAGCGAGUCGGUGGCAGCUGCAAUCAGUUAAGGUUCUUGAGUUCACAUACCUCCACUCCAGGAAGUGGCUGGUGGCAGGGCAGGGGACUUUGAAGUAAGGGUCUUUUCUCCCACCCUUGCUCUAAAAGACCAUGAAUUUAUUGGUUAAGCUACAAGGCCCAUAUAUUUUGCCAGGCCUUUCAUGGAAGGAGAGAUAUGGGUUGAAAGGGGAGAAAUUUAUUCUGAGAGGAUCUUUUUUGUGCUUAUUGAUCCAAACGAACCUUUAAUUAACCAAAAUAAAUAAUUCAGUAAUUACAUUUCUAAAACUGAUAAAAUAAAAUGGAAUUUCCCCCCAACGCAAAUUAUCUGUGUUUCUUACUAACGUUGGCAGGAAAACUAAUCAGUUGCAUGGUCAUUUGAAAAACACUAUGCAAAAAACAAAGCACAUACACACAUGCAAAGUGCUGGAACUUUCUCAUUCAAAACCCGUUCAAACAUUUUGGCCUUUGUACUUUUAUCUUUGUGAAUUACACUAUAUGCCAGAUACAUAAACCAGUAAUGGAAAAACAGUAUGGGGGCUGACUGUUUUGUUCUCAGUGGCAGCUCUACGCCCUGAGCAAUGCUAUUUUCUUCCUUUUCUUUGGUCGGUAAUAGACAAACAUCUGGAAUGAAUGUGCUAUCCUCAUUAAUUAAAUGAUUUUCCAUUUGUCAGUAUAAUUCCUGAUUAUACAAGACAUCUUCUUAAACAAUAGAAAUUUGCUACAAAUAUCAACCUUUAGCUUGUUCUGUAAGACAGCAGUUCAUUCCGAAUUGUAUCCCUGGUAAUGAUUUUAAUUAAUGAGCAAUCAUCUAUAAGGUUAGUAGCUUUAAGGAAAUCAUUAAAAAAAUUAAGCAAAACUAGGAAUACCAACUAUACAACUUUAUACAGCAGGUGUAGAAAUGAAGAAAGCUCAUUACAAAAUUCAUGUAAAACUGCAGUUGAAAUGGAAAAUGUAUACAUCAAG